Molecule: ribosomal RNA, 254 nt
Filed under: uncultured bacterium
Lineage: Bacteria
Description: partial 16S ribosomal RNA
Rfam family: Bacterial small subunit ribosomal RNA
Source: RNAcentral
UACAGAGGUCCCAAGCGUUGUUCGGAUUCACUGGGCGUAAAGGGCGCGUAGGCGGUCGUGACAAGUCACUUGUGAAAUCUCCGGGCUUAACUCGGAACGGUCAAGUGAUACUGUCGGACUAGAGUACAGAAGGGGCAACUGGAAUUCUCGGUGUAGCGGUGAAAUGCGUAGAUAUCGAGAGGAACACCUGCGGCGAAGGCGGGUUGCUGGACUGAUACUGACGCUGAGGCGCGAAAGCCAGGGGAGCGAACGGG